CCUACGGGUGGCUGCAGUGAGGAAUAUUGGUCAAUGGACGAGAGUCUGAACCAGCCAAGUCGCGUGAGGGAUGACUGCCCUAUGGGUUGUAAACUUCUUUUGUCAGGGAAUAAAACCAGGGACUAGUGCCUUUUUGCAUGUACUUUAUGAAUAAGGAUCGGCUAACUCCGUGCCAGCAGCCGCGGUAAUACGGAGGAUCCGAGCGUUAUCCGGAUUUAUUGGGUUGAAAGGGAGCGGAGGUGGGUGUUUAAGUCAGUUGUGAAAAUCGGCGGCUCAACCGCAAAAUGGCAAUUGAUACUGGCGGUCUUGAGUAGAGUUGAGGUAGGCGGAAUGCGUGGUGUAGCGGUGAAAUGCUUAGAUAUCACGAAGAACCCCGAUGGCGAAGGCAGCUUACUAAACUGUGACUGACAUUGAGGCUCGAAAGUGUGGGUAUCAAACAGGAUUAGAUACCCGAGUAGUC
RNAcentral lists this ribosomal RNA (460 nucleotides) under uncultured bacterium. RNAcentral describes it as "partial 16S ribosomal RNA". It matches the Rfam family "Bacterial small subunit ribosomal RNA", at positions 338 to 795 of the family's 1533-position model. The record is from RNAcentral.